GAUGAAUGCUGGCGGCGUGCCUAACACAUGCAAGUCGAGCGGCAGCGAAGGGUGCUUGCACCCUGUCGGCGAGCGGCGGACGGCUGAGUAACGCGUGGGAAUCUACCCUAAAGUGAGGGAUAACCGCCCGAAAGGGUGGCUAAUACCGCAUAUGAUCUUCGGAUUAAAGGAUUUAUCCGCUUUGGGAGAAGCCUGCGUUGGAUUAGGUUGUUGGUAGGGUAAUGGCCUACCAAGCCGACGAUCCAUAGCUGGUCUGAGAGGAUGAUCAGCCAGACUGGAACUGAGACACGGUCCAGACUCCUACGGGAGGCAGCAGUGAGGAAUCUUCCACAAUGGGCGAAAGCCUGAUGGAGCAACGCCGCGUGAAGGAUGAAGGCCUUCGGGUUGUAAACUUCUUUUAUGAGUGAAGAAUAUGACGGUAACUCAUGAAUAAGCACCGGCUAACUACGUGCCAGCAGCCGCGGUCAUACGUAGGGUGCAAGCAUUAUCCGGAGUGACUGGGCGUAAAGAGUUGCGUAGGCGGUUUAAUAAGUGAAUAGUGAAACCUGGUGGCUCAACCAUACAGACUAUUAUUCAAACUGUUAAACUCGAGAAUGGUAGAGGUAACUGGAAUUUCUUGUGUAGGAGUGAAAUCCGUAGAUAUAAGAAGGAACACCAAUGGCGUAGGCAGGUUACUGGGCCAUUUCUGACGCUAAGGCACGAAAGCGUGGGGAGCGAACCGGAUUAGAUACCCGGGUAGUCCACGCCGUAAACGAUGGAUACUAGCUGUUGGAGGUAUCGACCCCUUCAGUAGCGAAGCUAACGCGUUAAGUAUCCCGCCUGUGGAGUACGGCCGCAAGGCUAAAACAUAAAGGAAUUGACGGGGACCCGCACAAGCGGUGGAUCAUGUUCUUUAAUUCGAUGAUAAACGAAGAACCUUACCAGGGUUUGACAUCCCGAGGAGAUUUACGAAAGUAGAUUGUGCCUUUUGGAACUCGGUGACAGAUGAUGCAUGGCCGUCGUCAGCUCGUGUCGUGAGAUGUUUGGUUAAGUCCAUCAACGAGCGCAACCCUUGUGAAUAGUUGAAUUUUUCUAUUCAGACUGCCCCGGCAACGGGGA
RNAcentral lists this ribosomal RNA (1098 nucleotides) under uncultured Candidatus Saccharibacteria bacterium. RNAcentral describes it as "bacterial SSU rRNA". It matches the Rfam family "Bacterial small subunit ribosomal RNA", at positions 28 to 1167 of the family's 1533-position model. Lineage: Bacteria; Candidatus Saccharimonadota. The record is from RNAcentral.